AUUGAACGCUGGCGGCAUGCUUUACACAUGCAAGUCGAACGGCAGCGGGGUGGAGCUUGCUUCUCUGCCGGCGAGUGGCGCACGGGUGAGUAAUACAUCGGAACGUGUCGAGAAGAGGGGGAUAACCACCCGAAAGGGUGGCUAAUACCGCAUAAAUUCUGAGGAAGAAAGCUGGGGACCUAGGAAUAGGCCUAGCGCUUUUUGAGCGGCCGAUGUCGGAUUAGCUAGUUGGUGAGGUAAAGGCUCACCAAGGCGAAGAUCUGUAGCGGGUCUGAGAGGAAGAACCGCCACACUGGGACUGAGACACGGCCCAGACUCCUACGGGAGGCAGCAGUGGGGAAUUUUGGACAAUGGGGGCAACGCUGAUCCAGGCAUGCCGCGUGUAUGAAGAAGGCCUUAGGGUUUGAAAGGACUUUUGUUAGGGAAGAAAAGUCAGCAGUGAAUAAUGGCUGAUACUGACGGUACCUAAAGAAUAAGCACCGGCUAACUACGUG
This 494-nucleotide ribosomal RNA is filed under the name uncultured bacterium. RNAcentral describes it as "partial 16S ribosomal RNA". It matches the Rfam family "Bacterial small subunit ribosomal RNA", at positions 30 to 507 of the family's 1533-position model. The record is from RNAcentral.